This is a long non-coding RNA of Temnothorax curvispinosus, 551 nucleotides long. RefSeq lists it as uncharacterized. The transcript has 4 exons. Lineage: Eukaryota; Metazoa; Arthropoda; Insecta; Hymenoptera; Formicidae. The record is from RefSeq and is a predicted model, not a curated record.
UGACAUUACAAAUAUCGUUAGAAGAAAAUUCAUGCACAUUUAAGAUAUAAUAUAGAGAGACGUAUGAAGCUGUUAAGAAAGACCGAAUUAUGCUGGAAUACAGCGAUAACCUAGAAAUAGAUAGAUAGUGACAGUCGUGACCAUCGCCGCGUCAUAGAUACUUAGUGAUAGUGAAAUAUAUAUUGACGGCAGAGAGCUGAUGCCGAUUUUCUUUAAGAAGGAAGGUGUAUCCAAAAUCGCACACGAACAUUUUAUAUUCAACUACGUGGUAUACAAUUUUGCCGUUAUAUAUUGACCGCAGGAAGCUGAUACCGAAGAGAUCUUUAAGAAGGAAGGUGUAUCCAAAAUUGCACAUGUAUGGGACUUGUGAGUUAUGCGAAGCAAUUGAUACUAUUAAGGUUCAUUUGUCGUAUGAAGUUUGCACACGUCAAACUUAACAUCCUAAAGGUCACGAUGCAUUCUGAAAACGAUACCGUGCAGGUUUGUUGGCGUAUACGUGGUGUCACAGGCUGGAAGGUAUUUUCUACGUUUUGGAAGUAAAAUUUGGAAAA